UGCAGUCGACGGCAGCACGGACUUCGGUCUGGUGGCGAGUGGCGAACGGGUGAGUAAUGUAUCGGAACGUGCCUAGUAGCGGGGGAUAACUACGCGAAAGCGUAGCUAAUACCGCAUACGCCCUACGGGGGAAAGCAGGGGAUCGCAAGACCUUGCACUAUUAGAGCGGCCGAUAUCGGAUUAGCUAGUUGGUGGGGUAACGGCUCACCAAGGCGACGAUCCGUAGCUGGUUUGAGAGGACGACCAGCCACACUGGGACUGAGACACGGCCCAGACUCCUACGGGAGGCAGCAGUGGGGAAUUUUGGACAAUGGGGGAAACCCUGAUCCAGCCAUCCCGCGUGUGCGAUGAAGGCCUUCGGGUUGUAAAGCACUUUUGGCAGGAAAGAAACGUCAUGGGCUAAUACCCCGUGAAACUGACGGUACCUGCAGAAUAAGCACCGGCUAACUACGUGCCAGCAGCCGCGGUAAUACGUAGGGUG
Molecule: ribosomal RNA, 481 nt
Filed under: Achromobacter kerstersii
Lineage: Bacteria; Pseudomonadati; Pseudomonadota; Betaproteobacteria; Burkholderiales; Alcaligenaceae
Description: bacterial SSU rRNA
Rfam family: Bacterial small subunit ribosomal RNA
Source: RNAcentral